This 566-nucleotide ribosomal RNA is filed under the name uncultured archaeon. RNAcentral's name for it is "bacterial SSU rRNA". It matches the Rfam family "Archaeal small subunit ribosomal RNA", at positions 327 to 897 of the family's 1478-position model. The record is from RNAcentral.
CGGGCGCACCAGGCGCGAAAACUCUACAAUGCAGGCAACUGCGAUAGGGGGACAUCGAGUGGCAUCCACCUUGGGUGCCUGUCCAACCGUCUAAAAAACGGUUGUUAGCAAGGGCCGGGUAAGACCGGUGCCAGCCGCCGCGGUAAUACCGGCGGCUCGAGUGGUGGCCGAUAUUAUUGAGUCUAAAGGGUCCGUAGCCGGCUUUCCAAGUCCCCUGGGAAAUCCAGCGGCUUAACCGUUGGGCUUUCAUGGGAUACUACAUUGCUUGGGACUGGGAGAGGUAGGAGGUACUCGGGGGGUAGGGGUGAAAUCCUGUAAUCCUCCGGGGACCACCGGUGGCGAAGGCGUCCUACCAGAACAAGUCCGACGGUGAGGGACGAAAGCUAGGGGCACGAACCGGAUUAGAUACCCGGGUAGUCCUAGCCGUAAACGAUGCCCGCUAGGUGUCACGACGGUCGUGAAUCGUCGUGGUGCCGUAGGGAAGCCGCGAAGCGGGCCACUUGGGAAGUACGGCCGCAAGGCUGAAACUUAAAGGAAUUGGCGGGGGAGCACAAGGGCGAAUCGCG